AACGAACGCUGGCGGCAGGCCUAACACAUGCAAGUCGAGCGAACCCUUCGGGGUUAGCGGCGGACGGGUUAGUAACGCGUGGGAAUAUACCCUUUGGUACGGAAUAGCCUCGGGAAACUGAGAGUAAUACCGUAUGUGCCCUUCGGGGAAAGAUUAUCGCCAAAGGAUUAGCCCGCGUUGGAUUAGGUAGUUGGUGGGGUAAUGGCCUACCAAGCCUACGAUCCAUAGCUGGUUUGAGAGGAUGAUCAGCAACACUGGGACCGAGACACGGCCCAGACUCCUACGGGAGGCAGCAGUGGGGAAUCUUAGACAAUGGGCGCAAGCCUGAUCUAGCCAUGCCGCGUGGACGAUGAAGGCCUUAGGGUUGUAAAGUCCUUUCAGAUGGGAAGAUAAUGACGGUACCAUCAGAAGAAGCCCCGGCUAACUCCGUG
Molecule: ribosomal RNA, 431 nt
Filed under: uncultured bacterium
Lineage: Bacteria
Description: bacterial SSU rRNA
Rfam family: Bacterial small subunit ribosomal RNA
Source: RNAcentral